Molecule: unclassified non-coding RNA, 271 nt
Filed under: Hevea brasiliensis (rubber tree)
Lineage: Eukaryota; Viridiplantae; Streptophyta; Magnoliopsida; Malpighiales; Euphorbiaceae
Source: RNAcentral
AUGGUUUCCGUGGCGAUUCCUAUCUCCAGUCUCCAGCUUCACUAGAGUUGACAUAAUACCAAAACCCCAAUCAGGAUCAUCAAACAUCACAAGAAAAUCAUUGAAAGAUACCAUUGAAGAAUCUGUUUCUCCAUGAACUUCUAACAUUUCACUAACUCCAUGAGAAGGAAUGUAAAUAGCCCUCAGCAACUUUAUAUAGCCAACGGCAUCAACUUUUCUAAUCUGAGAACCUCCCUCAUUCACAGGACGCCACAAAAGUGCAUCAAAAGCA